RNAcentral lists this ribosomal RNA (1343 nucleotides) under uncultured bacterium. RNAcentral's name for it is "16S ribosomal RNA". It matches the Rfam family "Bacterial small subunit ribosomal RNA", at positions 28 to 1378 of the family's 1533-position model. The record is from RNAcentral.
GACGAACGCUGGCGGCGUGCUUAACACAUGCAAGUCGAACGGAAAGGCCCUGCUUUUGUGGGGUGCUCGAGUGGCGAACGGGUGAGUAACACGUGAGUAACCUGCCCUUGACUUUGGGAUAACUUCAGGAAACUGGGGCUAAUACCGGAUAGGAGCUCCUGCUGCAUGGUGGGGGUUGGAAAGUUUCGGCGGUUGGGGAUGGACUCGCGGCUUAUCAGCUUGUUGGUGGGGUAGUGGCUUACCAAGGCUUUGACGGGUAGCCGGCCUGAGAGGGUGACCGGCCACAUUGGGACUGAGAUACGGCCCAGACUCCUACGGGAGGCAGCAGUGGGGAAUAUUGCACAAUGGGCGGAAGCCUGAUGCAGCAACGCCGCGUGCGGGAUGACGGCCUUCGGGUUGUAAACCGCUUUCGCCUGUGACGAAGCGUGAGUGACGGUAAUGGGUAAAGAAGCACCGGCUAACUACGUGCCAGCAGCCGCGGUGAUACGUAGGGUGCGAGCGUUGUCCGGAUUUAUUGGGCGUAAAGGGCUCGUAGGUGGUUGAUCGCGUCGGAAGUGUAAUCUUGGGGCUUAACCCUGAGCGUGCUUUCGAUACGGGUUGACUUGAGGAAGGUAGGGGAGAAUGGAAUUCCUGGUGGAGCGGUGGAAUGCGCAGAUAUCAGGAGGAACACCAGUGGCGAAGGCGGUUCUCUGGGCCUUUCCUGACGCUGAGGAGCGAAAGCGUGGGGAGCGAACAGGCUUAGAUACCCUGGUAGUCCACGCUGUAAACGGUGGGUACUAGGUGUGGGGUCCAUUCCACGGGUUCCGUGCCGUAGCUAACGCUUUAAGUACCCCGCCUGGGGAGUACGGCCGCAAGGCUAAAACUCAAAGGAAUUGACGGGGCCCCGCACAAGCGGCGGAGCAUGCGGAUUAAUUCGAUGCAACGCGUAGAACCUUACCUGGGUUUGACAUGGAUCGGGAGUGCUCAGAGAUGGGUGUGCCUCUUUUGGGGUCGGUUCACAGGUGGUGCAUGCCUGUCGUCAGCUCGUGUCGUGAGAUGUUGGGUUAAGUCCCGCAACGAGCGCAACCCUUGUUCACUGUUGCCAGCACGUUAUGGUGGGGACUCAGUGGAGACCGCCGGGGUCAACUCGGAGGAAGGUGGGGAUGACGUCAAGUCCUCAUGCCCCUUAUGUCCAGGGCUUCACGCAUGCUACAAUGGCUGGUACAGAGAGUGGCGAGCCUGUGAGGGUGAGCGAAUCUCGGAAAGCCGGUCUCAGUUCGGAUUGGGGUCUGCAACUCGACCUCAUGAAGUCGGAGUCGCUAGUAAUCGCAGAUCAGCAACGCUGCGGUGAAUAAAUUCCCGGG